Molecule: RNA transcript, 1222 nt
Organism: Catharus ustulatus (Swainson's thrush)
Lineage: Eukaryota; Metazoa; Chordata; Aves; Passeriformes; Turdidae
Gene: CD58
Gene name: CD58 molecule
Exons: 9
Source: RefSeq, a predicted model, not a curated record
CCUUUUCCCCACAACCCCGGCGUUCCCAGAAGUGCCCACGGAGGCCUCCCAGCGGAAAGAGCCGCCGGCAGUGCGGUGCGCUGGGCUGGGGCAGGACGGGGCGGGGCGCGCCUACUGCCGGGUUUCGGGUUCUGCCUGGGCAGUGAUCGUGUGGGCAGCGAUGUGGCUGCUGGCUUCACUCCUGUGCCUUACGCCCCUCCAGGCACACAUUGACUGUAUGUAUGUAGUUGGUAUCACGGGAGAAAAUUUUACUUUUCCAGUACAAAUAGACCAAAAAAUAGUGGAAACUGUCUGGAAGAAAAACAAGGAUAUAGUGGCUGAAUGGGAAGAGCAAAACAAACCAACAUAUUUUGAUCCUCUCCGUAAUAGGAGUGUACUUAUGGAGAAUGGAUCCUUGACUAUAUUUAACUUGGAGAAGGAUGAUGCUGGCACGUAUAUGUUACAAUACUGGGAUUCUGUGAAAGAUCACUACUUAGACUUCGAACUUGAUGUGUUAGAUUCCCUUCCAGAACCUAAUAUAACUUGCAGCAUCAGUGGUGAUGAACUUCUAUUAAACUGUACAGCACGUUUCCAGGGGUCUCUGACAUAUGCUUGGAAGCUCAGUAACAAGCCACACAGUUACCAGAAUCAAGAGCUUUUUAUCCCUCAGAAGCAUGUUGGUACUACCACCAAAGCUACAUGUAUCAUUAAAUUUUCACAAACGGAAAGGAGUUCUGGAAUCUCUUUGAUUCAAUGCCUUCCAGAAGAAAAAGGAGACAGAAACAGAGGUGCUCUUUCUGGAGCUUUUGUCCUUACUGCAAUUAUCCUAGUAGGAAUCCUAGUAUUCCUGUGCAGGAAAGGUACAACUAAACUUGGAACAGGAAGAAGGACUGCUCAUAUCAACAAUCCAGUGAAUGGCUCAGGAGAACAUGAUCAACUUUUUUCUGGGAACAACCAACAACAGCCUAACUCAGGAGGAGGGACUGAGCUUUUGAAUUGGUUUUCAAAGCGUGCACAUACAGACUCUCAAUCUCAGUAGAGGUCCAAUAGUGGAUGAUUAUAGGGACCUGCACUUAAUGUGUUAGUGGGGCUGGCAAAGUUACUGACAGUGAAAGGCCUGAGAUUUUCCUGAUCAACAGCUGUCUUUGGAGCUGCAUUUUCACAUGCUGUUCAUGAUACGAAUGAAGAGCCCAAAAAAGACACAGCAUUGAGUGAAGAUGACAAUGCCCUGAAAGACAAGCAG